Molecule: ribosomal RNA, 315 nt
Filed under: Triticum aestivum (bread wheat)
Lineage: Eukaryota; Viridiplantae; Streptophyta; Magnoliopsida; Poales; Poaceae
Description: partial small subunit ribosomal RNA
Source: RNAcentral
AUGGUAACGGCCAUUGCGUCCACACUUGAAGCACAUCAGCUCAGCCGAAGACUGGCCGGAGCCCCCGCGCCCACCAGCAGGUGCCUCUCUCACUUGGCGGAACUGGCCCCCCUCGCCAUCACGAGCACGACGGUCACCACCACCGGCCAAGGCGCUGCCCCCAUAAUCCUGGCCAAAGGAGCAUGGCUGGCCCGGAGUAGGAGGAAUCCCUGGCGGCGGAGGAGGCAGCCCGCAGGGCGAGUCAUGGCCACGGGACGACGAGCCGUCGCGGCGACCGACUGCCCCUCUCCACUGCAGCGCCUAGCCCAUCCCUAG